RNA transcript from Tripterygium wilfordii, 2587 nucleotides. It is a transcript of the gene named TOM1-like protein 6, with no coding region annotated. The record is from RefSeq and is a predicted model, not a curated record. Lineage: Eukaryota; Viridiplantae; Streptophyta; Magnoliopsida; Celastrales; Celastraceae. The transcript has 11 exons.
UAAAGAGAGAAAGCGAGGGAAAAUGUCCUUUCUGAGAAAAUAAUCUGCGAGCAAAAGAAUUAGGUUUUUUAGAGUGAAGAAGCUGCAGAAAAGAACCGAGAAAAUUAAAAGUGAUAUUCUAGGGUUUCUGAAAGAAUUUUCCACGAAGCCAAACGGGGACGUAGUUACCAGGAAAUCGAAAGAGAAACAGAGAGUUUGACCGACGAGAAGGGAGAUAGAGAAUGUUGCAAUUGUAUGCGACAGCGAUGGCUUCUUCUUCUUCGUCGUCGGCGACGGUGGCAGUGGAGAAGGCGACGAGCGACCUUCUGAUUGGGCCUGAUUGGACUAUGAACAUCGAUAUCUGCGAUUGCGUUAAUUCUCUCCGUUGGCAGGCAAAAGAUGUUGUGAAAGCUGUAAAAAGGAGGGUGCAGCACAAGAACUCUAAAGUGCAACUACUUUCUUUGACGCUUCUGGAGACGAUGGUGAAAAACUGUGGUGAUUAUGUUCAUUUUCAAAUUGCUGAGAAGAAUAUACUGGGAGAGAUGGUAAAGAUCGUAAAAAGGAAGUCAGAUAUGCAUGUUAGAGAUAAAAUAUUGGUUUUAUUGGAUACCUGGCAAGAGGCUUUUGGUGGGCCUGGAGGGAAGCAUCCCCACUACUACUGGGCAUAUGAGGAACUAAGGUGUUCUGGAGUACAAUUUCCCAAGCGUUCCUUGGACACAUCUCCUAUAUUUACACCACCGGCUAGCCAUCCAACAAUAAGACUUAUGGAAGCUGGAUAUGGAAGGCAGACUAAUUCUUCUAGAAGACUAGAUGAAACAAUGGCAACAGAGAUGGAAGGCUUAAGUUUGUCGAGCAUGGAUGCUAUGCGGACCAUUAUGGAACUUUUAAAUGACAUGCUGCAAGCUGUGAAUCCUAGUGACCGCGCAGCUGUUAAAGACGAAGUGAUUGCUGAUCUUGUCAACCGGUGUCGUUCCAACCAAAAGAUGCUAAUGCAAAUGCUAACUACGACUAGUGACGAAGAACUUCUUUGUCGAGGUCUUGAAUUAAAUGACAGUAUGCAGAUCUUACUUGCAAAGCAUGAUGCUAUAGCAUCUGGUUCUCCCAUGCCAAGUCAAGUUACAAAUUUGAGACCCCAACAAACUGAAGUUUGUGAGUCCAGUGUGAAACAUACAGAACCAUCGGACUCUAGUCCAAGAUCUAAUGCGUACACAUCUCCACCAGCUGCAAAUAUGCCUAGGGGCCAGUUUGAUGAAGAUGAGGAAGAAGAAGAUGACUUUGCUCAGCUAGCAAGAAGGCACUCCAAAGGUCAGCCAAUGCCUUCAAGUACAUCUGCUGGAAGCAACGAUGGUCUUAGUAGUACCUCAUCUGAGCUAGGUGCUUCAUCUCCAGUUUCUAACAAUGCAUUAGCAUUAGCUCUUCCUGAUCCACCAGCUUCUGUUAGGACAACAGCAAAAGAACAGGACAUGAUUGACCUUUUGAGUCUUGCUCUAGCAACAAAAUCACCCUCCUCACACUCCCCUCACGCUCCUUCAGACUCUAAUGAAAACAUGCAUCAGGCACCCGUCUCCUCCAGCACUCGAGGGCUACCCUUUGCUUCCCAAAACUUUUCUGGAAACCAAGGGCAUGUGCCCUAUAAUAGUUAUGUUAUUCCAUGGGCCCAGCCUCAACCUCAGCAACAAUUUCAACCACCUCAAUCACAACUUCACCUCCAGCAACAAUUUGAGCUUCAGUCUCGAUCAGGGUUGCAGUGCCUGCAGCAGCCACAAUUCCAACCUCCAUCCCAGGUUCCUCAGUACUCAUCUCAAUAUCCCCCUCCACCAUGGGCAGCAACCCCUGGUUAUGCCAACAACCAAAGUCAUUUGGCUGCUACAAAUAAUAGUAUGUUUUCUACUCCCCAAACAAAUCCAGCCACGCUCUCGACAGACAUGCAGGUAGCUAGACCCUUACAACAUUUCAACUCCUUUCCGUUGAGAGGAAACAAUGGGCCUGCUGUACAUGGUGAUCUUCUGAGCUUUGGUCUUUGGAACCCCACCCCUACUGAAAGGCAGAAGACAUUCAUUCCCUCGUACAGAUUGUUCGAGGAUUUGGAUGUUCUUGGCAAUGCGGAUGGAAAGUUUAAAAUGGCGAGCAACACCAUGCCAAGCAUAUCUGGAACUUCUAGCCAGGGCAUGGUGGGUGGGAGGAAGUGAAUGCGAACCGCGCAGGGCACAGGAGUUGGGACAUAUUUGUGUAAAUGUUUUGCAUCUGAAAGAAAUGGACUUUUAGCUUUGUUCUGGUUCACGUGAACGGGGAAUUGAAGACGGCGCUGAAAGCUUGAAGAAUGUACGGUUGAUUUUCUGAUGCUGAGAGAAGACUGAAGACAAGUAGAAGACGCCGCCGCCGCUGAAAGCUUGAAGAAUCUCUUUUUUCCCUUUUAAAAGUGCAAUGGAGAGAAUUUAUCGUUAGAGAUGGUAGUGCUUUCCAGAGCCCUGGUUUGGAUUCGUCCCCCUCCUUUAUUAUCCUUUGCAUCUUAAUCUUUUUGAAAGCCCAGACCCAUUCUUCUGAGAGCGAUCGGUUUGAAAAAAAAAAGUACAAGAAACAAGACAAACACGGCGUAUUGAGUUUGGUA